Small nucleolar RNA from Episyrphus balteatus (marmalade hoverfly), 90 nucleotides. RefSeq annotates it as small nucleolar RNA psi18S-1377. The transcript has a single exon. NCBI's taxonomy places the organism in Eukaryota, Metazoa, Arthropoda, Insecta, Diptera, Syrphidae. The record is from RefSeq and is a predicted model, not a curated record.
AUGUCCUUGUGUUAUUUGUCAGAUAUUUUUUAUUAAUCUGGUAAUCGUCAAACAGGACAAACAUAAAAAUUCUAAAAUCUCGUUAUAAAU